Long non-coding RNA from Ipomoea nil (Japanese morning glory), 409 nucleotides. RefSeq lists it as uncharacterized. The transcript is spliced from 3 exons. The record is from RefSeq and is a predicted model, not a curated record. Lineage: Eukaryota; Viridiplantae; Streptophyta; Magnoliopsida; Solanales; Convolvulaceae.
AAUGGAGUUCAGAGGUGUGUCUUCUUUAUUAUAUCCCCCUAUCCUUCAUAUGAAUCUAAAACUCCACCAGAGUCCAUCGUUCCACGGAUUGAAGCAAAAGAUGCUUCAAUCAAAUCUUUUUUGAUUUUUUUUUCUGUUAGAAAAAGAGGAAAUCCCCCCUUUUUCCUUUUAUUCAACAAAUAUUCAAAAAAAUCAAAAAAAAAAAAAUAAGAGACUGGAAAUGAAAGUAGCAUUCUCGCAUCGAUUCUCCGUCACGCUGUCGGAACAAAAUUAUCGGAUGCAGUGAUAUAGAAAUGUUUGGUACAUGAAGCCACAUCUGAUAGAUAUACAUCGAAAUCUACUUACAUAGAAAUUCAUCUUGAUCCCUAAUCAAAGAAAGAUAGGAAAUGGCUCUUUUGGUGUGACUUGG